AACCAUAGAAACCUGCGGAGUACCUGCGGAAGGAUCAUUACCGAGUCACGUGCUCAAAUAACCCUUCUGUGGACCUGAAAUAAAACCGUUGCCUCGGCGGGCGGUCCCCCCAACCAAACCCCACGUGGUGGGUUAGGGGACCAGACAGUCCGGCACGCUUAAGGCGUCCGGCGCCAGCCGCUGGCCCCAAACAAUUAAACCCCUAGUAACCUUUACCUUCUGAGUUUCAAUAUUUUAAAA
This 240-nucleotide unclassified non-coding RNA is filed under the name soil metagenome. Its description in RNAcentral is "partial contains 5.8S ribosomal RNA, internal transcribed spacer 2, and large subunit ribosomal RNA". The record is from RNAcentral.